ACUCCAUGCAGGGCAGGUGCAGUCAGCUCUGACGAGACUGAACCGACAUUUCAGCAUCGCACAGGGUCUUCUAUUAGACAGAUGGCUACUUCACUUCUGGUCGGUUCUUCGCCAAUAGAUAUCAUCACACAGCAUUCAAGUGAAUC
This 146-nucleotide long non-coding RNA is filed under the name Amphibalanus amphitrite. RNAcentral's name for it is "uncharacterized LOC122366763, transcript variant X2". The record is from RNAcentral. Lineage: Eukaryota; Metazoa; Arthropoda; Thecostraca; Balanomorpha; Balanidae.